RNAcentral lists this ribosomal RNA (504 nucleotides) under uncultured bacterium. Its description in RNAcentral is "bacterial SSU rRNA". It matches the Rfam family "Bacterial small subunit ribosomal RNA", at positions 39 to 524 of the family's 1533-position model. The record is from RNAcentral.
UGAUACACUGCGGCGGCUUACAUAUGCAAGUCUCAAGGUAGCAGGAGAAAGCUUGCUUUCUUGCUGACGAGUGGCGGACGGGUGAGUAAUGCUUGGGAAUCUGGCUUAUGGAGGGGGAUAACUACUGGAAACGGUAGCUAAUACCGCGUAAUAUCUUCGGGUUAAAGGGUGGGAUCUUCGGACCACUUGCCAUAAGAUGAGCAGCAAGUGGGAUUAGGUAGUUGGUGGGGUAAAGGCCUACCAAGCCGACGAUCUCUAGCUGGUCUGAGAGGAUGGCCAGCCACACUGGAACUGAGACACGGUCCAGACUCCUACGGGAGGCAGCAGUGGGGAAUAUUGCACAAUGGGGGGAACCCUGAUGCAGCCAUGCCGCGUGAAUAAAGAAGGCCUUCGGGUUGUAAAGUUCUUUCGGUGAUGAGGAAGGCAGAUAAGUUAAUAGCUUGUUUGAUUGACGUUAGUCACAGAAGAAGCACCGGCUAACUCCGUGCCAGCAGCCGCGGUAAU